RNAcentral lists this long non-coding RNA (1102 nucleotides) under Marmota monax (woodchuck). Lineage: Eukaryota; Metazoa; Chordata; Mammalia; Rodentia; Sciuridae. The record is from RNAcentral.
AUUACACUGAUGAGAUAAAGCAAAGAAAUGAAAAUAUAAAAUUGGAAAUGAGAAAAUAAAAUGGUCAUAAUUUAUAGAUGAUAGAUAGCAUUGUCUAUUUAAAAAACUUUAUUAAAGUAUAUAGAAAAAUCAUUAGGGUAUAGCUGCUGGAUGUAAGGUAAUAACCAAAAUGAAUAGCAUUUAAAUAGACCAGAAAUGAAAAAAAAUUUUAAAAACUUAUAAUUCCAUGAAAAGAUACCUGGAUACAAAUGUAAACAGAAUGUGUAAGACCUUUAUGGAGAAUAUAGUAAGAUUUUAUUGAAUGAAAAUAAAAUCUUUUAAAUAAAUGAAGAAAAAGACUGGGUUUAUAAGUAGGGAGAUCAAAUACUGGUCUAAUUCUGUCAGUUAAAUCAAUUCACAGAUUGAUUUGUAAAUUCAUGCAAAAUUCCAAGAGCUUUUAAAAAUGAAAUUUGAAAACUUAUUUUAAAAUUUACAAAGGACAAAUUGUAGUUGUAGCUCAGUGGUGGAGUGCUUGCCUCCCAUGUGUGAGGCACUGGGUUCGGUCCUCAGCACCACAUACAAAUAAAUAAAUAAAGGUACUGUGUUUAUCUACAAUUAAAAAAAAUUUAAAAAUUUACAAAGGACAAAGUAUCCUAUAAAGCUGAAAAAGAACAAGUUGGGCGGGGCUUGGUCUAUAUAAUAUAAUAAUUACUGAUGUUAGUGAUAUAGAAUUUGAUGGUAUGGUAGUAGCAUAGAGAAAGAAUAUAGAAGAAUAGAGGCAUAGAAACAGACCUUUAUGGAAACGUAAUAUUUGUCAGAAUGACACUGCACAUUUGUAGGAACAAAGCAAAAAUUUUUACAUAUUGCUGGACAACUAGUUAUUUAUAUGGGAAAAAUGAAAUGGAAUCUGUACUUCUCACUGAUACGAAAACCCAUUUUAGACAAAUGAAAUGCAUAAUAAUUUUAUGUGUUAACCUUAUUCCAAUACUUUAUAUUUUUUACCGCUUUAAUCACGUCAGUUUUCUCUAUUUUUUUUUUUUUUUUAAUAUGAGGAAACAGAGGCAAGCCCUGAAAAAAUGAAGUAAUUUGCCCAGGGUCACAGUAACAGAGCCCUAUAUGAACC